RNAcentral lists this ribosomal RNA (532 nucleotides) under Zelus araneiformis. Its description in RNAcentral is "partial 16S ribosomal RNA". It matches the Rfam family "Bacterial large subunit ribosomal RNA", at positions 1809 to 2611 of the family's 2925-position model. The record is from RNAcentral. Lineage: Eukaryota; Metazoa; Arthropoda; Insecta; Hemiptera; Reduviidae.
AAAAACAUGUCCUUUUGAUUUAUAUAUAAGGUUUAACCUGCCCAAUGAUUUUUAUUUAAUGGCCGCGGUAUAUUAACUGUGCUAAGGUAGCAUAAUCAUUUGUCUUUUAAUUAAAGGCUGGAAUGAACGGUUGGACGAGGUAUUUUCUUUCUUUAUUUUAGUUUAUGAAUUUAAUUUUUUAGUUAAAAAGCUAAAAUUUAUUUGUGGGACGAGAAGACCCUAUAGAUCUUUAUAUUUUAUGUUAUUAUAUAUUUUAGUGUAUUAAUUAUUUUAAUAAUAUGUUGUAUUUGAUUGGGGUGAUUGUAGAAUUUUAAAUAACUUCUAUUUUAUUUUUUCAUUAAUUAGUGUUUAUUUGAUCCAGUUUUAUUGAUUAUAAGAUUAAGUUACCUUAGGGAUAACAGCGUAAUUCUUUUGGAGAGCUCGUAUCGAUAAGGGAGUUUGCGACCUCGAUGUUGGAUUAAAAUUAGUUUCAAGGUGUAGCAGCUUGAGAACUGGGUCUGUUCGACCUUUAAUUUUUUACAUGAUCUGAGUU